CAGGAGUUUGAGACCAGCCUGCCUAACAUGGUGAAACUCAUCUCUACUAAAAAUACAAAAAUUAGCUGGGCGAGUGCCUGUAAUUCCAGCUACUUGGGAGGUUGAGCAGGAGAAUGCUUGAACCCAGAAGGUGGAGGUUGCAGUGAGCCAAGAUCGCACCACUGCACUCUAGCCUGGGCAACAGAGCGAGACCCCAUCUCAAAAAAAAAAAAAAAAAAGGGAAGCCACAGGAACUCCCAUUCACUGUUGAUGUGAAUGGAAUAUUCUACAGUCACUCUGUAAGACAGUCUGGUGAGCUCUGAAGAUAAGCAUGGUCUUACCACAUGAUUCAUCAGUAACCCUACUACAUAUUGACCCCAAUGAAUUGAAAGCUCAUGUCCCCAGAAAAGUCCUCACAAAGACGUUUUCAGCAGCCUUAUCCAUAUUUCCCAAAAACUAAAGUCAGACAAGAUGAGCAAAUUUUUUUUUCCCCAAGACAUGGGGGAUCUCACUGUAUCUACCAG
RNAcentral lists this long non-coding RNA (503 nucleotides) under Homo sapiens (human). RNAcentral describes it as "HSALNT0255912". The record is from RNAcentral. Lineage: Eukaryota; Metazoa; Chordata; Mammalia; Primates; Hominidae.